AUUGAACGCUGGCGGCAGGCCUAACACAUGCACGUCGAGCGGAUGAAGGGAGCUUGCUCCUGGAUUCAGCGGCGGACGGGUGAGUAAUGCCUAGGAAUCUGCCUGGUAGUGGGGGAUAACGUCCGGAAACGGGCGCUAAUACCGCAUACGUCCUGAGGGAGAAAGUGGGGGAUCUUCGGACCUCACGCUAUCAGAUGAGCCUAGGUCGGAUUAGCUAGUUGGUGGGGUAAAGGCCUACCAAGGCGACGAUCCGUAACUGGUCUGAGAGGAUGAUCAGUCACACUGGAACUGAGACACGGUCCAGGCUCCUACGGGAGGCAGCAGUGGGGAAUAUUGGACAAUGGGCGAAAGCCUGAUCCAGCCAUGCCGCGUGUGUGAAGAAGGUCUUCGGAUUGUAAAGCACUUUAAGUUGGGAGGAAGGGCAGUAAGUUAAUACCUUGCUGUUUUGACGUUACCAACAGAAUAAGCACCGGCUAACUUCGUG
RNAcentral lists this ribosomal RNA (484 nucleotides) under uncultured bacterium. RNAcentral describes it as "partial 16S ribosomal RNA". It matches the Rfam family "Bacterial small subunit ribosomal RNA", at positions 30 to 507 of the family's 1533-position model. The record is from RNAcentral.